Non-coding RNA from Styela clava, 924 nucleotides. The record is from RefSeq and is a predicted model, not a curated record. Lineage: Eukaryota; Metazoa; Chordata; Ascidiacea; Stolidobranchia; Styelidae.
UAUAAACCAUGCUAUGUGCAUAAAUAACAUGCUGCAAGCCCGUCGGUAGUCUAUUUGAAGAGAUUGACUAUUAAAAGUACAAUCGUCUUAUUGGCAUCAGCCAAAGAACUUUCAGGACAAAAAAAAUUGUUAUUUAUCGAGUGUUUGAGAAUACCGACCACGACAUCAACCAAGUUAGACCAACUAAACGUGUGUUUUAUGUUCGUUGUACAAACACUUGAUGUAGAAUCAGAGCCAUCUGGCGAAGUGCAGAGGGCGCGAAGACGGAAGAUAGGACACUCCGCUUUGCUAGAGGAUUCUUCACAUGUGCGGUACUACAAAUCCAUUCUUGUCUGUCGAUUUAUUAGUUAGUCAGCAAGGAAUGACUAAUUAGGGUUUGACAGACGAAUCUAGACUACGUGUUUCGAUGGUAUGUUUACCGAGGAACAACUCAGUCCGGCGGGUAAUAGGAAUUUAAGAUUUCAAAUGAUUUUUAAUGAUAAUCUGCUCUUUUUGAGCGUGAACAUGAUGCUUAUAUUAAUCAGUAUACUUCACUGAUUGAACUUUUAUUCAGCAUCAUUCUUAUGUAUCGAUCCACACGGUAAUAAUUCGUAGACGAUUUGAUACGACUAAUAUUUGGAACUAACCAUUUUUUCUUUUUAAUAAUGCCGAAACCUUCCGAUAAUAAAUAUUACAAUGUGAUAUCUUUGAAAUUAAACAAUAUUUGCUCCUUUGACCGACCAAAUUAAAUAAAGAAGGGUUUCGGUUAGACUUCACACUGCAGUGAUUUAUGUGUUGUUAGUUAGAUAGGGCAAUAGGUUCUAUUCGUCAUUCUGGGGAUCAAGCUUUAAAGUCUCCUAAAUUAAAUCGGCCACAUGGAGCACAUAUUUGGAUGAGACUUGAGUUUUUCCCCUUUGUAUAUUAGACCACAGUACAGGGUCACAC